This 1130-nucleotide long non-coding RNA is filed under the name Cottoperca gobio. Its description in RNAcentral is "lncRNA (ENSCGOG00000018316.1)". Lineage: Eukaryota; Metazoa; Chordata; Actinopteri; Perciformes; Bovichtidae. The record is from RNAcentral.
UACGUGACUCACUGACUGGACCCGACAGGCGUAGAAAAAGCAGAGAGGAGAAGAAAGUGCAGAAACAUUUAGCUUUACUCCUGUUACACGGUGUUUGCAGUAACAGCUGUAGAUCUAGCAACUGUCAUCUAUUACUAGAUUAUUUAUCGCAAUGCAAUGGCAACUGCUUUGAAGAUAUUGUUUUAUUUUGGGCAAUAAAUCUACUCGCAGAGUGAAUUGCACUGCACUUUAACCUCUGAGAAAGUGAAGUGGAAGAGCUCUGGCUGUUCGACUGUAUUGUUUGUCUCAAUUUUGGAGAGCAGGUGUUAUGGAUCUACAGUAUUUCCUGAGCUGGAAAGUUGCCCUGCUGCUUCUCAUGGAGGCAGUGCACCACGUCUCAGUCAGCGUCAACACGUCUCACUCCACGCUGGUUUGCGGCGAGGCCUGGGGCACAGACCCCCACUUCAGCUGGCUCCAUGAAAGAGUCGCCAUCACCGAGACUGUGGGAAGCGUCUCCAAAGAUGGAACGACAUUGUUUGUGACCAAGACUCCCAUCUGUGGCCACUUCACCUGCAUGGUCAGCAACAAGCUGGGCCACAGUUCUGCCACCUACACUGCAGCACCUUGUGAGACAGAGGGCAGAGGGACAACAGUGGCUGUAGUGUGUCCCAUCCUCCUGCUGCUGUUUGGAGGAGUGCUGGCGUUUCUGCUGUUGAGGCGACACCGGCACAACAGAGGAGAGAGGCUGCACGAACUUUUGGAUGACACCAUCUAAAAAAAAACAGGCCAAAGAUACACGUCUGCUACUCAGAGAGGAGAACAGGAAAUGGACUAGAGCGUGAGGCUCGAACUUCAUGUCCUGUGAGCAGUAUGACCUUACACUGCAUUGGAACAAUGUGACGAGCGGCAAAUGAAAAUAAAUCCUAAAAUGGAUAUUAAGCAUGAAGUGCCAGCAAUGUCUUCACACUGCCUCCUGCUGGGCUGCACCUGACACUGUAUUUUGUUUUGUAAGCUUGAUUUUGAAAUGUACCUUUAUAAUAAAACCCCUUCACAGAAUGUGACAAAACUCAGCUGUUAUUUGAAAGAAGGUUUAAAAAUAGUUUUGACGGCGCUCGAACUGUAUAAGGAGGGAGUUGUGUACGAUCUACAAU